This 437-nucleotide ribosomal RNA is filed under the name uncultured Saccharofermentans sp. RNAcentral's name for it is "partial 16S ribosomal RNA". It matches the Rfam family "Bacterial small subunit ribosomal RNA", at positions 341 to 792 of the family's 1533-position model. The record is from RNAcentral. Lineage: Bacteria; Bacillati; Bacillota; Clostridia; Eubacteriales; Oscillospiraceae.
ACGGGAGGCAGCAGUGGGGAAUAUUGGGCAAUGGGCGCAAGCCUGACCCAGCGACGCCGCGUGAGGGAAGAAGGUCUUCGGAUUGUAAACCUCUUUCAGCAGGGAAGAAGCAAGUGACGGUACCUGCAGAAGAAGUCACGGCUAACUACGUGCCAGCAGCCGCGGUAAUACGUAGGUGGCGAGCGUUAUCCGGAAUUACUGGGUGUAAAGGGUGUGUAGGCGGAGAAGCAAGUCAGGUGUGAAAUCUAUGGGCUCAACCCAUAAACUGCACUUGAAACUGUUAUUCUUGAGUGUCGGAGAGGUAGAUGGAAUUCCUAGUGUAGCGGUGAAAUGCGUAGAUAUUAGGAGGAACACCAGUGGCGAAGGCGAUCUACUGGACGAUAACUGACGCUGAGGCGCGAAAGCGUGGGGAGCAAACAGGAUUAGAUACCCUGGUA